AUUCCCGUGUUGUUCUCCAAAACGGAAAAUGACCCUCCGUCUAGUGUCAGCACCGCCAUCAUUCUCUCUCUUCACCUGCCGCUCCACCGCGUCCACCGCGUCCACCGCCCUCCCUCCGCCUACGCCGACACCAACGCCAGUGCCAGCUUCUUCUAUUCCACCGUCUCCGCCGUUAACGUGCGCACUUCAUUGCCCGCACUUCCAAUCGUGUUCGGGGUGCACGCACGAGUUCAACCUCCACCGUCCGGUCAUACUGGACGAUGCCAACGAUUUCUUUCGGAAACACGGUGUCUCCGACUUCACAUUUGACACGUGUAAACUGUGGGGUUGGAGGUGCCGUGCGAAAUUGGCCGUGCGUGGCUCUUCAACGGAGCCUCUGAUCGGGCUCUAUGAGGAGGGUACUCAUAACAUAGUUGACAUUCCACAAUGCAAAGCUCAUCAUCCUAAUAUUAAUGCUGCUGUGGAGCUGCUUCGACGGGGUAUUACUGAAUUAGGCAUUGGACCAUACAUUGAAGAUGAAGUUACCGGUGAUUUGCGAUAUGUCCAGAUGGCGGUGACGACUUAUAAUACAUCUCUUCCUGCGGCUGAAAGAUAUAUGAACGGAAAGGUUCAGAUUACAUUGGUUUGGAAUUCUAGAAAUGAAAAUUCACCUGGUGCUGACAAACUGAAUGCAUUGGCAAAUUUUCUAUGGAAAAAUGGUGGGCCACGGAGCAGGGUUCAUUUAAUUCACUCUGUGUGGGCGAACUUUCAGACUUCUACUAACAAUAUAAUUUUUGGGAAUAGAUGGAGACAUCUUCUUGGAGAAAGAGAUUUUUGGGAACAUGUUGGUGGAAUUGAUGUGUCCUUGGAACCUUCUAGUUUUGGCCAGGCAAACACACGGGCUUUUGAUACCUUGCUGCGGAAGUUACAGAAAUAUGUUCCAUAUGAAUCAGCUGUUGCUGAUUUGUAUGCUGGAGCUGGGGUUAUUGGGUUGUCAUUAGCUGCCACGAGAAAAUGCAGAUCUGUAAAAUGCAUUGAGAUAAACAAAGAGUCGAAGGCAUCUUUUGAGAAGACCAUUGAACGUUUACCUUCCACUGUUGACAGCAGUAUUACUUGGCAUCAUGCAGAUGCUUCAAAGGAGCCUUUUUUGUGGCUUGUGGGAUCAGAUGUUGUUGUCAUUGAUCCUCCUAGAAAAGGACUAGAUGCAUCUCUUAUUGAUGCAUUGAAAAACAUAUCAUCAAUCGAGCGGAAAGCCUUGUCAUCUUCUGAAAGCUCAAACUCAUCCCAGGAAGAGAAAAGACCAUGGGUUUUACGUGCUAAAGAAGCUUCAGUCCAGAUUGGAAGCAAACCACUACCGGCUAACAUCCCUCAAUCAGUGCCACAAACCCUUAUUUAUAUAAGUUGUGGAUGGGAAAGUUUUAAAGAGGACUGCAAGUCAUUGUUGUCUAGCAAGGCAUGGUAUUUGGAAAAAGCUCAUGGAUUUAAUUUCUUUCCUGGUACCCAGAGCAUUGAAGUCCUAGCAGUGUUCAAGAGGGGCCCUCAGAAAAAGAAACCAGGAAAGAAAAAGAAAAAACACUUGCAAAGAGCUGUGAAACAUUAACUUGGACAGGGUUCGAUAUACAGAUUUUCGUGUACAACAUCAAAUUUAUGUAAUGUUGCAUUGAAGAAAAGAAAUGAUGACGAAGUCCAACUUGCCUGAAGAGAAUCAUUGCUUUUGCUACUGACAUGCUCUCUAGCACGGUAAAGGGAGUUGUAUUGGUUAGAGGAUGUAGAUCUACAAACAUCUCCAUUUCCUCGCUGGUCACAGCCACCCCUUCAAUACUUCCUUCUCUCUCAGCAAGCUCUACCCAGGUAAAUUUCUCUCUCACUUCCCAGUCCAUUGUUCUCCUUCUUUCUUUAAAGAACCACUUCUUCUUUAGUGCUUGGAUGAGAUGUGCUCUUAAAACUAGUCCAUGCAACUCUGUUGCUCCAUUGGCAUGUCCUACUACUGGUGGUACUACUACCCCAUCAUCCAAAACAGGAAAGCCAUUAUGCGUAGUGUUUUUCAAGACAUCUACUAUUUUAGAUACCUUCUCUAUUCCGUGGAGGGUAACCACUGAUGGCUUUACAUCAACAAGCUCACCCACAGUGAGAUUUCUCAUCCAUGGCUCGGGAUUUGCAUCCAUGAAAGGGAGGCCUUUCAAGUGCAGUAUAAUUUCAUAGAUACUUGGGUUGAAACUGUCUCCCACAGUUUUGGCUAUUAGGAGAACAAUCAUUGUUAUUGGUAAUAGAAGAAGAUUAUUGGUGAGUUCUAGAAAGAUCACACAAAGGGAUACCGUCAUCCUCAUGGAACCAGCCAUGAGGGAGGCUGCACCAAGUACGGCAAACAGCCCUUGGUCAAUGUUUGUAUGAGGCCCCAUAUAGAAGCCAAGAAGGCGUCCAUAACCUGAGCCCAUAAGAAUAAUUGGGAGGAAAAGCCCAGAUGGCACUGCAAUUCCAAAAGUAAUUAGUCCUAAUAUGCAAUAUAGUACAAAGAAAAUUAGGAGGGACAUGGGUUGAUAUUCUAGAGGGGUGUUGGUUGAGAAUAUGUUUCGAACAGCAUCGUCAUUAGUGGUAAGCAGCAGAGUGGCCAGAUCGUUAUAGAAGCCAGGUGGGCAGUUGAAUUGUUUGAAAUUUCCGGAUCGUCCAUUGGUGGGGCAUGCUGACUCUGGAAUCGAUGAAUCACAUGGGGUACAUUUUGCUAAGAAUGGGAGACCAUAUUGGCACAUAGAUGUGAAGAGUGCAACUGCAAGACUGAGGAGGAGUUUAUGUAUCUUUCCUUUCCUGCAACAAUUAAAGUCUUAUGUGUUUUUAAAAGUUAAGGAUGUGCAAUAUGUUGAGGCGAGGGUUGGAUAUCAUUGCUUACUGAUUGAUGAGAUUGUAGAGUCUGAGGAUCUUGUGUAGCACAUGAUUGUAAAGGCUUCCCAAUACCCCGCCUAUAAUACCAAUGACUACAACGAUGACAAUAUCCAUAGCAUGGUACCUCACUGUGACAUUGCUUACAUCAAACAUAAUCAGACCUCCUUCACCAAAAAGGCCACAUUUUCCAGAAUUGCAGAUUUCAAUGAAGGCCCUGAGAACCACCA
Vigna angularis (adzuki bean) is the source of this 3083-nucleotide RNA transcript. RefSeq lists it as uncharacterized. The transcript has 17 exons. The record is from RefSeq and is a predicted model, not a curated record. NCBI's taxonomy places the organism in Eukaryota, Viridiplantae, Streptophyta, Magnoliopsida, Fabales, Fabaceae.